GAGUACCUACGGGAGGCAGCAGUCGGGAAUAUUGCGCAAUGGAGGAAACUCUGACGCAGUGACGCCGCGUAUAGGAAGAAGGUUUUCGGAUUGUAAACUAUUGUCGUUAGGGAAGAUAAAAGACUGUACCUAAGGAGGAAGCCCCGGCUAACUAUGUGCCAGCAGCCGCGGUAAUACGUAGGGGGCACGCGUUAUCCGGAAUUGUUGGGUGUAAAGGGUGCGUAGACGGAAGAACAAGUUGGGUGUGAAAUCCCUCGGCUCAACUGAGGAACU
RNAcentral lists this ribosomal RNA (273 nucleotides) under uncultured bacterium. RNAcentral describes it as "partial 16S ribosomal RNA". It matches the Rfam family "Bacterial small subunit ribosomal RNA", at positions 333 to 622 of the family's 1533-position model. The record is from RNAcentral.